UACGAAGGGGGCUAGCGUUGCUCGGAAUCACUGGGCAUAAAGGGUGCGUAGGCGGGUCUUUAAGUCAGGGGUGAAAUCCUGGAGCUCAACUCCAGAACUGCCUUUGAUACUGAAGAUCUUGAGUGCGGGAGAGGUGAGUGGAACUGCGAGUGUAGAGGUGAAAUUCGUAGAUAUUCGCAAGAACACCAGUGGCGAAGGCGGCCGACUGGUCCGGUUCUGACGCUGAGGCGCGAAAGCGUGGGGAGCAAACAGG
Molecule: ribosomal RNA, 253 nt
Filed under: uncultured bacterium
Lineage: Bacteria
Description: partial 16S ribosomal RNA
Rfam family: Bacterial small subunit ribosomal RNA
Source: RNAcentral